CUAACCUGCCCACUGAUUUAUUAAAGGGCCGCGGUAUAUUGACUGUGCAAAGGUAGCAUAAUCAUUUGUCUUUUAAUUGAAGGCUAGAAUGAAUGGUUGAAUGAAGUAUAUACUGUCUCAUUUUAAAAAAAAUAAAAAUUUAGUUUUUAAGUGAAAAAGCUUAAAUAUAAUUGGAGGACGAGAAGACCCUAUAGAUCUUUAUAUUUUAUUUUAUUUAUAAAAUUUAUAAAAAAUUAAUUUUAAAUAAAUUAAAAUAUUUAGUUGGGGUGACUAGAAAAUUUAAUAAACUAUUUUUAUUUAAUAACAUAAAUGUAUGAAUUAUUGAUCCAAUUAUAUUGAUUAAAAAUUUAAGUUACCUUAGGGAUAACAGCGUAAUUAUUUUAAAGAGUUCUUAUCGAUAAAAUAGAUUGCGACCUCGAUGUUGAAUUAAAGAU
This 434-nucleotide ribosomal RNA is filed under the name Lysmus zanganus. Its description in RNAcentral is "partial large subunit ribosomal RNA". It matches the Rfam family "Bacterial large subunit ribosomal RNA", at positions 1854 to 2545 of the family's 2925-position model. The record is from RNAcentral. Lineage: Eukaryota; Metazoa; Arthropoda; Insecta; Neuroptera; Osmylidae.